AAAACAGAACUGUGGGGACAUUUGUGGAGAGCACAGGCGCGGAACGGAAAGCCGCGUGCAAGCGAAGGAGGAGUCACAUAGGAAAAACCGUGUGGCAGUCCAAAGGCGUGAUGCGGACCGAACUAAAGUAGGUAAGUGUGUGAGCCAUGAAUCAAGAAAAGCCGCUAUUGUUUUUAAGAUACCCGUACCGUAAACCGACACAGGUGGAUGAGGAGAGAAUCCUAAGGCCGGCGGAAGAAGCAUUGUUAAGGAACUCGGCAAAAUGACCCCGUAACUUCGGGAGAAGGGGUGCCAACGAGAGUUGGCCGUAGAGAACAGGCUCAAGCAACUGUUUAGCAAAAACACAGGUCUAUGCAAAACCGUAAGGUGAGGUAUAUGGGCUGACGCCUGCCCGGUGCUGGAAGGUUAAGAGGAGAGGUUAGCGGUAACGCGAAGCUUUGAAUUUAAGCCCCAGUAAACGGCGGCCGUAACGAUAACGGUCCUAAGGUAGCGAAAUUCCUUGUCGGGUAAGUUCCGACCCGCACGAAAGGCGUAAUGAUUUGAGCGCUGUCUCGACAAUGCAUCCGGUGAAAUUGAAGUACCAGUGAAGAUGCUGGUUACCCGCGCCAGGACGGAAAGACCCCAUGGAGCUUUACUCCAGUUUGGUACUGGGGUCCGGCAGUGCAUGUACAGGAUAGGUGGGAGGCUGUGAACCUGGAACGCCAGUUUCAGGGGAGCCAUUGUUGGGAUACCACCCUUGUGCUGCUGGGCUUCUAACCAGCGGCCUUUAUCAGGCCGGGGGACAAUGCCAGACGGGGAGUUUGACUGGGGCGGUCGCCUCCGAAAGGGUAUCGGAGGCGCUCAAAGGUUCCCUCAGAAUGGUCGGAAACCAUUCGAAGAGUGCAAAGGCAGAAGGGAGCUUGACUGCGACACCGACGGGUGGAGCAGGUACGAAAGUAGGACUUAGUGAUCCGGUGGUAUUAAGUGGGAAUGCCAUCGCUCAACGGAUAAAAGCUACCCUGGGAUAACAGGCUUAUCACUCCCAAGAGUUCACAUCGACGGAGUGGUUUGGCACCUCGAUGUCGGCUCAUCGCAUCCUGGGGCUGUAGUAGGUCCCAAGGGUUGGGCUGUUCGCCCAUUAAAGCGGUACGCGAGCUGGGUUCAGAACGUCGUGAGACAGUUCGGUCCCUAUCCGGCGUGGGCGUAGGAUAUUUGAGAGGAGCUGUCCUUAGUACGAGAGGACCGGGAUGGACUGACCUCUGGUGUACCGGUUGAACCGCCAGGUUCACGGCCGGGUAGCCAAGUCGGGAAGGGAUAAACGCUGAAGGCAUCUAAGCGUGAAGCCCCCCUCAAGAUGAGAUAUCCCAUUCGAAAGAAGUAAGACCCCUUGAAGACGACGAGGUAGAUAGGGCAGAGGUGGAAGUGCCGUAAGGCAUGGAGCUGACUGUUACUAAUCGGUCGAGGGCUUGAC
Molecule: ribosomal RNA, 1450 nt
Filed under: metagenome
Description: bacterial LSU rRNA
Rfam family: Bacterial large subunit ribosomal RNA
Source: RNAcentral